AUUCAGCUGGCCCGCUGCUUCCUAUCUUUGUACGGGAAGAGCUAAGUGCAUACAAAGCCCUGAUGAAUAGAGGCCUGCGCAGAGUGCCUGGGGUGCAAGGCAGCAGGGCAGCCAGUGAACCACUGAGUUCGCACUGUGGCCAGUCCUGUGUGCCCCUGCUGGAUUCUACUUCUAUGAGGGAGGCAGCAAGGAGUUGGGACUUCACAGGUGAAAGGACUUGCCAGGUUUUGUUCAGGUUUAGCACAAGCUGUGAUGAAUAUCUUCAAGCCUCUGCUUCCUGCUGUGGAAUUGUUGCCAAAGGACACAUUCCCAGAUGGGAUUACUGAGUCAGAGGAAGUGGACAUUGAGUGGCUCUCAACAGACAGGCUGUGUUGCUCUCACAGUGCCCAGCUUCCCAUGGGUGGCCAGCCGAAUGCAUUAUGGGAGAAAGCAGGUCUCGUGGAUAAUAUUUCUGAAGAUCAGAGCAGGUUGUGUCGGGUCCACGUUGGCCAUGACUGCAGCAUGCUCCGGAGGCAGCAGGGGGCACCCUGGAGCUUCGCAUCCUCCCUCAGGCCCGCGGCAUCUCCCCUGGCUCCACCAUCCCCAGGUGUCUCAGGCCUGUUUCCUCCUCAUGAGAGGUGGAGCAGUGGUUCCCAAACAUGAUGUGGGAAGUGUGUUAAAAUGCAGAUCCUGGGCUCGACUCUGAAGCUCUCCCAGCAUCCACCUUCCCAGGUGACCAGACUCUUGGGAAGGCAUCACCUCAAGACUCCUGCACCCUUCCUCCAGAGUCCUGGGAUUAAGCUAAAUCCUGGGAAGGUGCCUGCCUCCCUUGGGCCUCCCUGCUGCGCCUGGCCACGUGGAAACCCCUGUAGCUCCCUGGCUGUGCAGGAGCAGCCACAGUGUGCCCCUCCCAGGACCACCAUCCCCCUCACUGUCUCUGAGGCACCUGCGUGGACCGGGUCUGGAUUGAGUCUCAUUUCUCUGGAUUCCCACGGCAGCUGGCGGCUGCCUCUCCCACACCCGUCACUCUGUGUCAUGGAAAGCUGUGUGUUUGUCUUCAUUCCCACCGAGUCUGAGCCACUCGAGGUCAGGGCCAUGACCGUGAGCUGCACGUCCUCAGUGCCCAGUGUGAGCCGUGUACAGUAGAGGCUGACUGACGUCUUGGAGGCAGAA
Molecule: long non-coding RNA, 1152 nt
Filed under: Pan troglodytes (chimpanzee)
Lineage: Eukaryota; Metazoa; Chordata; Mammalia; Primates; Hominidae
Description: lincRNA
Source: RNAcentral